RNAcentral lists this small RNA (1066 nucleotides) under Pongo abelii (Sumatran orangutan). Its description in RNAcentral is "processed transcript". The record is from RNAcentral. Lineage: Eukaryota; Metazoa; Chordata; Mammalia; Primates; Hominidae.
UGCCUAGCUAUCCAGGCAGAGCAGUUACCCUCAGCUCUAGCUGAUACUACAGAUAGCACAACAGAUCAAGAAGCAUGGCAGUGACAACUCGUUUGACAUGGUUGCAUGAAAAGAUCCUGCAAAAUCAUCUUGGAGGAAAGCGGCUUAGCCUUCUCUAUAAGGGUAGUGCCCAUGGAUUCUGUAAUGGAGUUUUGCUUGACAGAUGUUGUAAUCAAGGGCCUACUCUAACAGUGAUUUAUAGUGAAGAUCAUAUUAUUGGAGCAUAUGCAGAAGAGAGUUACCAGGAAAGAAAGUAUGCUUCCGUCAUCCUUUUUGCACUUCAAGAGACUAAAAUUUCAGAAUGGAAACUAGGACUAUAUACACCAGAAACACUGUUUUGUUAUGGUGUUACAAAAUAUAACUCCCCAGCUAAUUUCCAGAUAGAUGUAAGAAAUAGAAAAGUGAUUACGGACUUAAAGACAAUGGAAAAUCUUGGACUUGCUCACAAGUAUACUAUCUCUAUUCAGGAUUGUGAAGUUUUUCGAUGCGAAGACUCACUGGACGAAAGAAAGAUAAAAGGGGUAAUUGAGCUCAGGAAGAGCUUACUGUCUGCCUUGAGAACUUAUGAACCAUAUGGAUCCCUGGUUCAACAAAUACGAAUUCUGCUGCUGGGUCCAAUUGGAGCUGGGAAGUCCAGCUUUUUCAACUCAGUGAGGUCUAUUUUCCAAGGGCAUGUAACGCAUCAGGCUUUGGUGGGCACUAAUACAACUGGGAUAUCUGAGAAGGUAAGCACAUUUGAGGCCACCUAGCCUUUGCUUCUCUGUUCAAAUCAAUUAUAUUUCAAAAGCCUUUUGCAGAUCAACUUUAUUACAUAUAGACUUCAUCUCAAUUUAUAAUAAAAAAUGAAACUUUAAAAUUGCUUUUCUCCCCUCUACAGUAUAGGACAUACUCUAUUAGAGACGGGAAAAAUGGCAAAUACCUGCCAUUUAUUCUGUGUGACUCACUAGGGCUGAGUGAGAAAGAAGGCGGCCUGUGCAGGGAUGACAUACUCUACAUCUUGAAUGGUAACAUUCGUGAUAGAUACCAG